GACAGAGGGGGCAAGCGUUGCUCGGAAUUACUGGGCGUAAAGGGCGCGUAGGCGGGAUGGCAAGUCGGUCGUGAAAUCCCUCGGCUCAACCGAGGAACGUCGAUCGAUACUGCUGUUCUUGAGGAUUGCAGAGGAGACUGGAAUUCCCGGUGUAGCGGUGAAAUGUGUAGAGAUCGGGAGGAACACCGGUGGCGAAGGCGGGUCUCUGGGCCAGUUCUGACACUGAUGAGCGAAAGCCAGGGGAGCAAACAGG
Molecule: ribosomal RNA, 253 nt
Filed under: uncultured prokaryote
Description: partial 16S ribosomal RNA
Rfam family: Bacterial small subunit ribosomal RNA
Source: RNAcentral